GACGAACGCUGGCGGCGUGCUUAACACAUGCAAGUCGAACGGAAAGGCCUCUUUCGUGGGGUGCUCGAGUGGCGAACGGGUGAGUAACACGUGAGUAACCUGCCCUUGACUUUUUGAUAACUUCAGGAAACUGGGGCUAAUACCGGAUAGGAGCUCCUGCUGCAUGGUGGGGGGUGGAAAGUUUCGGCGGUUGGGGAUGGACUCGCGGCUUAUCAGCUUGUUGUUGGGGUAGUGGCUUACCAAGGCUUUGACGGGUAGCCGGCCUGAGAGGGUGACCGGCCACAUUGGGACUGGGAUACGGCCCAGACUCCUACGGGAGGCAGCAGUGGGGAAUAUUGCACAAUGGGCGGAAGCCUGAUGCAGCAACGCCGCGUGCGGGAUGACGGCCUUCGGGUUGUAAACCGCUUUCGCCUGUGACGAAGCGUGAGUGACGGGAAUGGGUAAAGAAGCACCGGCUAACUACGCG
This 466-nucleotide ribosomal RNA is filed under the name uncultured bacterium. Its description in RNAcentral is "partial 16S ribosomal RNA". It matches the Rfam family "Bacterial small subunit ribosomal RNA", at positions 28 to 507 of the family's 1533-position model. The record is from RNAcentral.